This 972-nucleotide non-coding RNA is filed under the name Myonycteris angolensis (Angolan soft-furred fruit bat). RNAcentral describes it as "partial 12S ribosomal RNA". It matches the Rfam family "Bacterial small subunit ribosomal RNA". Lineage: Eukaryota; Metazoa; Chordata; Mammalia; Chiroptera; Pteropodidae. The record is from RNAcentral.
CAUAAACAUAAAGGUUUGGUCCUAGCCUUUCUAUUGACUCUUAGUAGGAUUACACAUGCAAGUAUCCGCACUCCAGUGAAGAUGCCCUUCAAAUCACCAACCGAUAAGAAGGAGCGGGUAUCAAGCACACUACCACAGUAGCUCACGACACCUUGCCUAGCCACACCCCCACGGGAUACAGCAGUGAUAAAAAUUAAGCCAUAAACGAAAGUUUGACUAAGCCAUACUAACCCAGGGUUGGUAAAUUUCGUGCCAGCCACCGCGGCCAUACGAUUAACCCAAGUUAAUAGACACACGGCGUAAAGCGUGUUCAGAAGACCCCCCCCCCCCCAUAAAGUUAAAUCUAAGCUAUGCCGUAGAAAGCUUUAGCUCAGACAAAAAUAAACCACGAAAGUGACCUUAGACACUUCGACACACGAUAGCUGGGACCCAAACUGGGAUUAGAUACCCCACUAUGCCCUGCCCUAAACCUAAGUAGUUAUUUAAACAAUGCUACCCGCCAGAGCACUACUAGCAACAGCUUGAAACUCAAAGGACUUGGCGGUGCUUUAUAUCCCUCUAGAGGAGCCUGUUCUGUAAUCGAUAAACCCCGAUAAACCUCACCAACCCUCGCUAAUACAGCCUAUAUACCGCCAUCUUCAGCAAACCCUAAAAAGGAGCCACAGUAAGCCUAAUCAUUCAACAUAAAAACGUUAGGUCAAGGUGUAGCCCAUGGGUUGGAAAGAAAUGGGCUACAUUUUCUAACAUAGAACACAACGAAAUUUUUCGUGAAACCGAAAACGGAAGGAGGAUUUAGUAGUAAAUUAAGAAUAGAGAGCUUAAUUGAAUAAGGCCAUGAAGCACGCACACACCGCCCGUCACCCUCCUCAAGUACCAAAACACAACCAACUAACUUCAUUGAUAAGUGUAUAUACAUACAAGAGGAGAUAAGUCGUAACAAGGUAAGCGUACUGGAAAGUGCGCUUGGAUAAU